RNAcentral lists this ribosomal RNA (497 nucleotides) under uncultured bacterium. Its description in RNAcentral is "partial 16S ribosomal RNA". It matches the Rfam family "Bacterial small subunit ribosomal RNA", at positions 28 to 507 of the family's 1533-position model. The record is from RNAcentral.
GAUGAACGCUGGCGGCGUGCCUAAUACAUGCAAGUCGAGCGAACAGACGAGGAGCUUGCUCCUCUGACGUUAGCGGCGGACGGGUGAGUAACACGUGGAUAACCUACCUAUAAGACUGGGAUAACUUCGGGAAACCGGAGCUAAUACCGGAUAAUAUAUUGAACCGCAUGGUUCAAUAGUGAAAGACGGUUUUGCUGUCACUUAUAGAUGGAUCCGCGCCGCAUUAGCUAGUUGGUAAGGUAACGGCUUACCAAGGCAACGAUGCGUAGCCGACCUGAGAGGGUGAUCGGCCACACUGGAACUGAGACACGGUCCAGACUCCUACGGGUGGCAGCAGUAGGGAAUCUUCCGCAAUGGGCGAAAGCCUGACGGAGCAAUGCCGCGUGAGUGAUGAAGGUCUUCGGAUCGUAAAACUCUGUUAUUAGGGAAGAACAAAUGUGUAAGUAACUAUGCACGUCUUGACGGUACCUAAUCAGAAAGCCACGGCUAACUACGUG